UGAGACGCGAGCAACUUACCAUGGCUUAAAUGUAGAUUGACAGGUUUAGAGAUAGACUUUUCUUCGGACAAUUUACAAGGUGCUGCAUGGUUGUCGUCAGCUCGUGCCGUGAGGUGUCAGGUUAAGUCCUAUAACGAGCGCAACCCCUAUUGUUAGUUGCCAGCGAGUAAUGUCGGGAACUCUAACAAGACUGCCGGUGCAAACCGUGAGGAAGGUGGGGAUGACGUCAAAUCAUCACGGCCCUUACGUCUUGGGCUACACACGUGCUACAAUGGCCAGUACAGAAAGCAGCUACCAGGCAACUGGAUGCGAAUCUCAAAAACUGGUCUCAGUUCGGAUUGGAGUCUGCAACUCGACUCCAUGAAGCUGGAAUCGCUAGUAAUCGGAUAUCAGCCA
This 396-nucleotide ribosomal RNA is filed under the name Myroides sp. 2A. RNAcentral's name for it is "bacterial SSU rRNA". It matches the Rfam family "Bacterial small subunit ribosomal RNA", at positions 955 to 1354 of the family's 1533-position model. Lineage: Bacteria; Pseudomonadati; Bacteroidota; Flavobacteriia; Flavobacteriales; Flavobacteriaceae. The record is from RNAcentral.